UGGGGAAUAUUGCACAAUGGGCGCAAGCCUGAUGCAGCCAUGCCGCGUGUAUGAAGAAGGCCUUCGGGUUGUAAAGUACUUUCAGCGGGGAGGAAGGUGUUGUGGUUAAUAACCUCAGCAAUUGACGUUACCCGCAGAAGAAGCACCGGCUAACUCCGUGCCAGCAGCCGCGGUAAUACGGAGGGUGCAAGCGUUAAUCGGAAUUACUGGGCGUAAAGCGCACGCAGGCGGUCUGUCAAGUCGGAUGUGAAAUCCCCGGGCUCAACCUGGGAACUGCAUCCGAAACUGGUAGGCUUGAGUCUUGUAGAGGGGGGUAGAAUUCCAGGUGUAGCGGUGAAAUGCGUAGAGAUCUGGAGGAAUACCGGUGGCGAAGGCGGCCCCCUGGACAAAGACUGACGCUCAGGUGCGAAAGCGUGGGGAGCAAACA
This 427-nucleotide ribosomal RNA is filed under the name uncultured bacterium. RNAcentral's name for it is "partial 16S ribosomal RNA". It matches the Rfam family "Bacterial small subunit ribosomal RNA", at positions 355 to 774 of the family's 1533-position model. The record is from RNAcentral.